RNAcentral lists this ribosomal RNA (464 nucleotides) under Vreelandella stevensii. Its description in RNAcentral is "partial 16S ribosomal RNA". It matches the Rfam family "Bacterial small subunit ribosomal RNA", at positions 338 to 795 of the family's 1533-position model. Lineage: Bacteria; Pseudomonadati; Pseudomonadota; Gammaproteobacteria; Oceanospirillales; Halomonadaceae. The record is from RNAcentral.
CCUACGGGGUGCAGCAGUGGGGAAUAUUGGACAAUGGGCGAAGCCUGAUCCAGCCAUGCCGCGUGUGUGAAGAAGGCCUUCGGGUUGUAAAGCACUUUCAGUGGGGAAGAAAGCCUUGGGGCUAAUACCCUCGAGGAAGGACAUCACCCACAGAAGAAGCACCGGCUAACUCCGUGCCAGCAGCCGCGGUAAUACGGAGGGUGCGAGCGUUAAUCGGAAUUACUGGGCGUAAAGCGCGCGUAGGCGGUCUGAUAAGCCGGUUGUGAAAGCCCCGGGCUCAACCUGGGAACGGCAUCCGGAACUGUCAGGCUAGAGUGCAGGAGAGGAAGGUAGAAUUCCCGGUGUAGCGGUGAAAUGCGUAGAGAUCGGGAGGAAUACCAGUGGCGAAGGCGGCCUUCUGGACUGACACUGACGCUGAGGUGCGAAAGCGUGGGUAGCAAACAGGAUUAGAUACCCUAGUAGUC